GAUGAACGCUGGCGGCGUGCUUAACACAUGCAAGUCGAACGGGAAAUAUUUCAUUGAGACUUCGGUGGAUUUGAUUUAUUUCUAGUGGCGGACGGGUGAGUAACGCGUGGGUAACCUGCCUUAUACAGGGGGAUAACAGUCAGAAAUGGCUGCUAAUACCGCAUAAGCGCACAGAGCUGCAUGGCUCAGUGUGAAAAACUCCGGUGGUAUAAGAUGGACCCGCGUUGGAUUAGCUAGUUGGUGGGGUAACGGCCCACCAAGGCGACGAUCCAUAGCCGGACUGAGAGGGUGAACGGCCACAUUGGGACUGAGACACGGCCCAGACUCCUACGGGAGGCAGCAGUGGGGAAUAUUGCACAAUGGGGGAAACCCUGAUGCAGCGACGCCGCGUGAAGGAAGAAGUAUCUCGGUAUGUAAACUUCUAUCAGCAGGGAAGAUAGUGACGGUACCUGACUAAGAAGCCCCGGCUAACUACGUG
RNAcentral lists this ribosomal RNA (478 nucleotides) under uncultured bacterium. RNAcentral describes it as "partial 16S ribosomal RNA". It matches the Rfam family "Bacterial small subunit ribosomal RNA", at positions 28 to 507 of the family's 1533-position model. The record is from RNAcentral.